Molecule: small RNA, 7486 nt
Filed under: Arabidopsis thaliana (thale cress)
Lineage: Eukaryota; Viridiplantae; Streptophyta; Magnoliopsida; Brassicales; Brassicaceae
Description: ATSL272330
Source: RNAcentral
UACUAUCAAUGUCAUUAUGUCCUUGGUAGAUUAUUUCGCGCUGAUACCUGACUCUCACAAGUACGGGAAAGACCUGAUCACAGAAAGGAUCAAAGAAGUCCAAGGAAUGGUGAUAUUAAGUCAUGAGUGCAGUGCAAUUAUCCAACAGAAGGUCAUACCUAGGAAAUUGGGAGAUCCAGGCUCAUUCACUCUACCAUGCUCACUAGGCCCUCUAACAUUCCCAAGAUGCUUAUGCGAUCUAGGUGCUUCGGUCAGUCUGAUGCCUCUCUCAGUUGCCAAGAAACUUGGUUUUGAUAAAUAUAAAACUUGCAACAUUUCGCUAAUUCUGGCGGGCAGAUCCAUCAGGAUACCUCAUGGCCUGUUGGAAGACUUACCUGUCAAGAUAGGUUCUAUAGAAGUACCUACCGACUUUGUGAUGCUGGAUAUGGAGGAAGAGCCGAAAGACCCAUUGAUUUUGGGAAGAUGAUUUUUAGCUAUAGCAGGAGCCAUCAUCGAUGUCAAGAAAGGAAAGAUCGACCUCAACCUCGGGAAAGAUCUUCGGAUGACUGUCGACAUCACCAACAUGAUAAAAAAGCCCACAAUAGAGGAUAAAGUUUUCUGGAUAGAAGAGACGAAAUUGCUAGCUGACGAGCUUUUAGAAGAACUAGCAGAGGAGGACCACUUACAGAGUGCCCUGACCAAAGACAGUAGAGAAAAAGACUUACAUGUGGAAACUUUGGGAUACCAGAAGCUGAUGGAUAUGAGCAGGGAAGUCGAUGACUCAGAAGACUUUGAGGAGUUGAGACCACUCGAUCGCACCAAUGACCCACUCGAUCACCUCACUCGAUCCCAAGGCGAGCUACAUCACUUGAUCGCUUCACUCGAUCACGAUUCCAUCUCCGACGCUGAAUCACCACCUGACGAUUGGUCCGAGCUCAAGGCACCCAAGGUUGACCUGAAACCGCUUCCGAAAGGGCUAAGGUAUGUUUUUCUUGGAAUCAAUUCCACCUAUCCUGUGAUAGUGAAUGAUGAACUAGAUACUGAACAAGUAAAUUUGCUUGUAAUUGAAUUGAAAAAGUAUAGGAAAGCCAUAGGUUAUUCACUAGAUGACAUCAAGGGGAUUUCACCCACUUUGUGCACUCAUAGAAUCCAUCUAGAAAAUGAAUCCUAUUCUAGCAUUGAACCUCAGAGGAGAUUAAAUCCAAACUUGAAAGAAGUAGUAAAAAAGGAGAUACUUAAACUAUUAGAUGCGGGUGUAAUCUAUCCAAUAUCUGAUAGCACUUGGGUAUCUGCAGUUCAUUGUGUUCCUAAAAAGGGAGGUAUGACAGUUAUUAAAAAUUCAAAAGAUGAACUGAUACCCACUAGGACCAUAACAGGACAUAGGAUGUGUAUUGACUAUAGGAAGCUUAAUGCAGCCACUAGGAAAGAUCACUUCCCCUUACCUUUCAUUGACCAAAUGCUAGAAAGAUUAGCCAAUCACCCCUAUUACUGUUUUCUAGAUGGCUAUAGCGGAUUUUUUCAAAUCCCUAUCCACCCAAACGACCAAGAGAAAACUACAUUCACGUGUCCCUAUGGGACUUUUGCUUAUAAACGAAUGCCUUUUGGGCUUUGUAAUGCACCCGCCACUUUUCAGCGCUGCAUGACUUCUAUUUUGUCUGAUUUGAUAGAGGAGAUGGUCGAGGUAUUCAUGGAUGAUUUUUCUGUGUAUAGCUCUUCUUUCUCCUCCUGUUUGCUUAAUCUGUGCAGGGUACUCAAGAGAUGCGAAGAGACAAACCUGGUACUGAACUGGGAAAAAUGUCACUUCAUGGUCAGAGAAGGAAUCGUCUUGGGGCACAAAAUAUCAGAAAAUGGGAUAGAAGUUGAUUGGGCAAAAGUUGAUGUCAUGGUGCAGUUGCAACCACCAAAAACUGUGAAAGACAUCAGAAGUUUUCUCGGACAUGCUGGGUUCUACAGGAGAUUCAUCAAGGAUUUCUCUAAGUUGGCUAGGCCACUCACCAGGCUGCUGUGCAAAGAGGCUGAGUUCACGUUUGAUGAAGAAUGUCUGGUUGCUUUCAAAUCGAUCAAAGAAGCACUGAUCUAUGCCCCAAUAGUCCAAGCACCUAUUUGGGAUCACCCUUUUGAAAUCAUGUGUGAUGCUUCGGAUUACGCUGUGGGAGCGGUUCUAGGACAAAAGAUUGAUAAGAAGUUGCACGUCAUCUACUACGCUAGCAGAACGAUGGAUGAUGCACAUGUAAGGUAUGCCACUACGGAGAAAUAACUAUUGGCCGUGGUCUUUGCAUUCGUAAAGUUUAGGAGCUACCUGGUAGGCUCUAAAGUGACAGUUUACAGUGAUCAUGCUCCUCUAAGGCACAUCUAUGCAAAGAAAGAUACCAAGCCGAGGUUGCUGAGAUGGAUUUUGCUGCUCCAAGAAUUCUAUAUGGAGAUAGUGGAUAAAAAGGGGAUUGGAAAUGGUGUAGCUAAUCACUUAUCGCGAAUGAGAAUUGAAGAUGCAGUCCCUAUUGACGACACCAUGCCUGAGGAACAGCUUAUGGCCAUCCGGGAAGUGAACAAAAAAUUCAAAAGCAGCCAGUUUUGGGAUGAGAUGCUCGCAGUAGAGGAGAAACUUCCGUGGUACGCUGAUUAUGUCAACUACUUGGCAUGUGGUGAAGAGCCUCCGAAUCUGUCAGGGUACGAAAGAAAGAAGUUCUUCAAAGACAUAAAUCGCUUCUACUGGGAUGAGCCAUACCUCUACACUCUCUGCAAAGAUAAAAUCUAUAGGAGGUGUGUCUCAGAAGAUGAAAUAGACGGUAUCUUGCAGCACUGUCAUCGUUCUAGCUAUGGCGGCCAUUUCGCAACGUUCAAGACAGUAUCUAAAAUCCUACAAGCAGGAUUUUGGUGGCCAACCAUGUUCAAAGACGCUCGUCAGAGAAGGGGAAACAUCAGCAGAAGAAAUGAGAUGCCCCAGAACCCGAUUUUAGAGGUUGAGAUUUUCGAUGUAUGGGGAAUUGAUUUCAUGGGUCCGUUUCCGUCCUCGUAUGGAAUAAGUAUAUAUUGGUUGCAGUAGACUAUGUGUCAAAAUGGGUGGAAGCAAUAGCCACUCCUACGAAUGAUGCUAGGGUCGUCCUGAAGUUAUUCAAGAGCAUCAUCUUCCCAAGAUUUGGAGUUCCUAGAAUAGUCAUUAGUGAUGGAGGCACGCACUUUGUCAACAAAGUUUUCGAGAGUCUACUGAGAAAGAAUGGGGUUAAACACAAGGUAGCGACUCCUUACCAUCCACAAACAAGUGGCCAGGUGGAAAUCUCUAAUAGGGAGAUAAAAUCAAUUCUAGAGAAAACUGUCGGGAUCACCAGGAGAGAUUGGUCUGUAAAGCUCGACGAUGCGUUAUGGGCAUACAGAACAGCUUUCAAGACCCCCAUUGGUACAACCCCGUUCAAUCUUCUUUAUGGUAAAUCCUGUCACUUACCUAUUGAACUGGAGUACAAAGCUAUAUGGGCAGUGAAACUUUUAAAUUUCGACAUCAAGACUGCUGAAGAGAAAAGAUUGAUACAGCUGAACGACCUUGAUGAGCUCCGUCUAAAAGCAUAUGAGAGCUCUAAAAUUUACAAGGAAAGGACAAAGUCGUUUCAUGACAAGAAAAUAACUUCAAAAGAUUUUAAAGUUGGUGAUCAAGUCUUGCUAUUCAAUUCUCGCUUGAAGCUUUUUCCUUGAAAACUCAAGUCUAGGUGGUCUGGCCCCUUCAGUGUCACUGCAGUAAGACCAUAUGGAGCUAUCACAUUAUCUGGAAAAAGUGACGACUUCACGGUUAACGGCCAAAGACUAAAGAAAUAUAUGGCAGAGCAAACAAUUCCAGAAGGAACUUCUGUUCCACUGGAAGAGCCGCCCAACGCCCAAUAAGUGUGAGGAGUCAAGCUAGAGACUCUAAACAAGCUCACUUGGGAGGAAAUCCCAUGACUAUCUUUGUAUAUAAUUUUAACUUUCUUAUUGUUUUUUAACUCACUUUGGUGGUGUUUUAAUCUCAGGAAAGUAAGCGACAAAAAUCAACUACAGGGUGAAUAGUGAUUUAAAGUGUGAAUAGUGAUUUACAGGGUGAAUAGUGGAGUCACACGAUCACGAAGUCAAGACGGUUUUCAAACUUUGCGAUCGAGUGGUUUAUUUCCCGGGAAAUAAUAGUUCAAAUUUUUUGAUAACGGAGCUGAACGAAGGAACGAAAACGUGCAGUGACUCGUUCAAGUCCAAGGCGUGAUCGAGUACAUGGAGUGGGCGAAAUCAGGCCAUCACUUUCCAAUGACAAAACCGGUGAAGCCCACCUUGUCCCCCAUGACAAAAAUGUCAACAAAUCAAUAGUCUUCACCACCCACCUCUCAUCACGUUUUUGCUAAGGGAAGAGCUCUCCUCACCUACCUAAGGGGCGUAUCUACCUCCUCCUCUUCCUAUAAAUACCAAGCUCCUCAUCCAAUGUUAAUCACACCUCACAACAACAUCUCCUUCUCUCUCAUACUCGAUCGCAAGCUUCUAUCUCUUUAAGAGCUGCCUUCACUCGAUCACAAGUCUCUCCACCCUUGGAAGCUUACUUCACUAGAUCGCAAGCUCCCGACGCCUCGCCUUCUUUCACUCGAUCACAACCCCGUGAAGCUCAACCGCCUCAAGCAUCUCACUUAGACGAUCUCAAGCCAUCCUCAUCAAGUUCACUCGAUCGCAAGCUCCCGAGACCCUCCUCUUACCUCUUUCACUCGAUCGCAAGCCCGCAACGUCUCCACGUUUGUUUCUCUCCCUCACUUACUCGAUCACAACCACUCCGAGCUCCUGUCCACCUCUUUUACUCGAUCAUAAUAUCAGUGAAGUUCAGGAAGUCACUUCUCUCAUUUCUCCUCAUUAGAUUUGAUAACUAACAUACUAAAGUUUAGUUGUGAGUUUUGAAUCAAUAUCAGGAACAAUGACCUCAUACAGCUAUGAUUCAUCAAUGGAUGCUGAUUUCAACGUUGACGAGGCGGAGUCAUGGUCAACAAGACCAGAGAGAGAAGCGGAGGAAUACUAACGUUUCCGAGAAGAAACAGAACGAGCCGCUGCCAAUGACAGGAGAGGAGAAGAGAUAAACAGAGGGAAGAGGUCAAUAACGGAAAAUUAUGAGCUAAUUGAUGAAGAGAUGGAAGAUGACGCGGAGUACAUUUUGGAGCAGACCCGCAAGACCACCAAGUCCCUAAUGAAAGAAGACAAGCUGACCCUGGGAGACUACUACAAGGCUCUCAAAAGAAAUCUGUUUUGGGGAACAAGAUAUCCUCACCCGGAGACAAUGGUGGAGUUAGGCAUCCUGGAAGACGUUCAGCUCUUGUUCGAGAAAUGCCAGAUGACAACACUCAUGUCUCAUCCCUAUCCUACCUAUGAGGAUGAGACACUUCAAUUCCUUUCAUCACUUCAAGUGGAAUUGUUUGAGGGGUUGUCAGCUGCUGAGUUAAGAGAAGAAGGGCUUGGUUACUUAAGCUUCACCAUCGACGAUCGCGACUAUAUCAUGGCGAUCAAGACGCUAGAAUCCAUGUUCGGGUUUCCCAGUGGCACGGGAAGUAACCCGAGGUUUGCCCGAGAAGAAUUAAAAUCUUUGUGGAACACUAUCGGAGACACCACCAGCUUCAACUCCGCUAGAUCCAAGAGCAACUCCAUCCGCAAUCCCGCCAUUCGCUAUUUCCAGAGAGCCAUGGCCAAUUUCCCUUACGCUAGGGAAAUAUCCGCCACUGUGACGAACCAGGACAUGGAGACAUUAGACUUGGCGCUGCUAAGUGUCCUCCGUUACACCAAGGACGGGAAAACGAUGAAGGGAGAUACCAAUGACACACCUCCGUCAAUGUAUCUCCUCAAUCACUUAUGCAGCUACAGAGGGUGGGCGCUGGCCAAUGACAAGAAGAACGCGAAAGGAUCCCUUUGCAUUGGAGGAGUGGUCACACCAAUCCUCCUAUCGUGCGACGUCCCACUGCGACCGGAUCCAAUCCAACCACGUUGGAUGGAUAUCGCCCAUCUCAAGCUUGCCCAUGUGAUCGAGCAUAAGGUCUAUGAUGGGAGGUACGCUUUCAAGUUUGAUCACCCGUCAACAGGCGAAGCAACUAUUCUUCUCCCAUUCAGUGAAAUGACAACCAUCACGGUGAGAGACAACAUCGACUUCUCGCCACCACAAGAAAUCCUCCAUGCUGUGAUUGGAGGAUCCGCGUCCCGAAAUGUUGAAGAAGUAGAAGGUCAGAGUGACAAUGAGGAGACCAACUGGGAGAACUAUGACACGAGCCGCUACCACUUUGAAGAACACAAGCCCCCUUCACAAGAAAGCAAGAGUCUCGCUGAAGCACACCGGAAGCUCAGUCUAACCCAAAGGUGGUGCAAGUUUCAAAACAAGAUCAUCCAUAAGUGUGUCAAGGCCAUUGACAACAUGGAGAAGGCAAUCAGUUGCACCACAUCCACCUGUGUGAUCACCAGAGACAAUCCGCCAGAAGAUAUGCCAUCCAGGCGUCAUGAUAUUGCCUCGCCAAGGCAAUCUGCUUAUCAACAGAGAGAACGCAUUGUCCCGCAAGAACCCGCACGACACUCGUGUCACGAGGUCAGGGAGCACAAGAGGCGGAAUAGCGCUAGGAUGGUCCGAUCAUCAAGCAAGAGUCGGAUAAUGUCGGGUUGGAGAACACAUGAGCGUCGUGCUCCACAACCUGCUGGGGUUGCGAUCGAGCACAAUGACGAGGUGAUGGCGGAGCCACAACAAGAACUGGUCAUGCCUGCUGAGCACACUCAAGCAGAUCUGGAUGACUACAUCUUCAGGAUAUUCUACUGAGGUAACACACCAAAACCCUUUGUAAAUACCGCUUUUGUUUUUGUUUCUGUGUUUAUCUUGACUUCUUUCACAAAUUUUGAUUACACAAGGGACUGUGUAAUUUAACUUUGGGGGAGGGUUCAAGACGUAUUUGACUUGUUUUUUGUGUAUAUCAUUUGAGUCUGCAUAUCAUCUAAGUCAUAGAAAAAAACAAAAAUAUUUGAAAUUUUUUGAAAAUGAAUUCCACAAAAACAGAGUGAUCAUUUAGUUGCAUUACAUUUAGAAUCGAGUCUAGAGUGUUUCAUAUAGGAUUGUUGCAUAUGCAUAGGGGAUAAUGAGGAAAUAGCCUUGUAAGCAUGAUGAUUCACUAAAAUGAGUUAUUAGUUCUCUGAGGCAUUUGAAUGACUUUGAAGUAAAACCGCACCAUGUUCUAUAGAAACCACUCGAUGCAUGUCAUGACACCUUUUCCUGUCAAUUUGAACUUGAAUCUGACUUAUAAUUAUCAUGUUUGCAUCGUUUUUGAACUUGUGGAUAGAAUACAUAUUUGGAUUUUCUUUCACUUAUUCACCACUCUUGUUAAUCCAAGUAGCUGCUUCUAUUCUUGGAGUAGUUCCCCCACCCUUAACCAACCCUUCUUUCAAGUCAUGUUAUUUUGUGAGAGCAUGUGAGGCCUAUUUUCAGGAUUGAGCUUGGUAGAACGUGUUAGGUUUGAGCCGAGAAGAGUAGUAUCUCAUGUAGUUCCAAUCUGCG